GGGUUGUGAGGUUAAGCGACUAAGCGUACACGGUGGAUGCCCUGGCAGUCAGAGGCGAUGAAGGACGUGCUAAUCUGCGAAAAGCGUCGGUAAGGUGAUAUGAACCGUUAUAACCGGCGAUGUCCGAAUGGGGAAACCCAGUGCAAUUCGUUGCACUAUCGUUAACUGAAUACAUAGGUUAACGAGGCGAACCGGGGGAACUGAAACAUCUAAGUACCCCGAGGAAAAGAAAUCAACCGAGAUUCCCCAGUAGCGGCGAGCGAACGGGGAGCAGCCCAGAGUCUGAAUCAGCUUGUGUGUUAGUGGAACGGUCUGGAAAGUCCGACGGUACAGGGUGAUAGUCCCGUACACCAAAAUGCACAGGUUGUGAACUCGAAGAGUAGGGCGGGACACGUGGUAUCCUGUCUGAAUAUGGGGGGACCAUCCUCCAAGGCUAAAUACUCCUGACUGACCGAUAGUGAACCAGUACCGUGAGGGAAAGGCGAAAAGAACCCCGGCGAGGGGAGUGAAAAAGAACCUGAAACCGUGUACGUACAAGCAGUGGGAGCACCUUCGGGUGUGACUGCGUACCUUUUGUAUAAUGGGUCAGCGACUUAUAUUCUGUAGCAAGGUUAACCGUAUAGGGGAGCCGCAGGGAAACCGAGUCUUAACUGGGCGUUAAGUUGCAGGGUAUAGACCCGAAACCCGGUGAUCUAGCCAUGGGCAGGUUGAAGGUUGGGUAACACUAACUGGAGGACCGAACCGACUAAUGUUGAAAAAUUAGCGGAUGACUUGUGGCUGGGGGUGAAAGGCCAAUCAAACCGGGAGAUAGCUGGUUCUCCCCGAAAGCUAUUUAGGUAGCGCCUCGUGAACUCAUCUUCGGGGGUAGAGCACUGUUUCGGCUAGGGGGUCAUCCCGACUUACCAACCCGAUGCAAACUACGAAUACCGAAGAAUGUUAUCACGGGAGACACACGGCGGGUGCUAACGUCCGUCGUGAAGAGGGAAACAACCCAGACCGCCAGCUAAGGUCCCAAAGUCAUGGUUAAGUGGGAAACGAUGUGGGAAGGCACAGACAGCCAGGAUGUUGGCUUAGAAGCAGCCAUCAUUUAAAGAAAGCGUAAUAGCUCACUGGUCGAGUCGGCCUGCGCGGAAGAUGUAACGGGGCUAAACCAUGCACCGAAGCUGCGGCAGCGACACUAUGUGUUGUUGGGUAGGGGAGCGUUCUGUAAGCCUGCGAAGGUGUGCUGUGAGGCAUGCUGGAGGUAUCAGAAGUGCGAAUGCUGACAUAAGUAACGAUAAAGCGGGUGAAAAGCCCGCUCGCCGGAAGACCAAGGGUUCCUGUCCAACGUUAAUCGGGGCAGGGUGAGUCGACCCCUAAGGCGAGGCCGAAAGGCGUAGUCGAUGGGAAACAGGUUAAUAUUCCUGUACUUGGUGUUACUGCGAAGGGGGACGGAGAAGGCUAUGUUAGCCGGGCGACGGUUGUCCCGGUUUAAGCAUGUAGGCUGAUUGUCCAGGCAAAUCCGGAUAAUCAAGGCUGAGGUGUGAUGACGAGGCACUACGGUGCUGAAGUAACAAAUGCCCUGCUUCCAGGAAAAGCCUCUAAGCAUCAGGUAACAUUAAAUCGUACCCCAAACCGACACAGGUGGUCAGGUAGAGAAUACCAAGGCGCUUGAGAGAACUCGGGUGAAGGAACUAGGCAAAAUGGUGCCGUAACUUCGGGAGAAGGCACGCUGGUGUGUAGGUGAAGUCCCUGCGGAUGGAGCUGAGACCAGUCGAAGAUACCAGCUGGCUGCAACUGUUUAUUAAAAACACAGCACUGUGCAAACACGAAAGUGGACGUAUACGGUGUGACGCCUGCCCGGUGCCGGAAGGUUAAUUGAUGGGGUUAUCCGUAAGGAGAAGCUCUUGAUCGAAGCCCCGGUAAACGGCGGCCGUAACUAUAACGGUCCUAAGGUAGCGAAAUUCCUUGUCGGGUAAGUUCCGACCUGCACGAAUGGCGUAAUGAUGGCCAGGCUGUCUCCACCCGAGACUCAGUGAAAUUGAACUCGCUGUGAAGAUGCAGUGUACCCGCGGCAAGACGGAAAGACCCCGUGAACCUUUACUAUAGCUUGACACUGAACAUUGAGCCUUGAUGUGUAGGAUAGGUGGGAGGCUUUGAAGCGUGGACGCCAGUCUGCGUGGAGCCAACCUUGAAAUACCACCCUUUAAUGUUUGAUGUUCUAACGUUGGCCCCUGACCGGGGUUGCGGACAGUGUCUGGUGGGUAGUUUGACUGGGGCGGUCUCCUCCCAAAGCGUAACGGAGGAGCACGAAGGUUAGCUAAUCCUGGUCGGACAUCAGGAGGUUAGUGCAAUGGCAUAAGCUAGCUUGACUGCGAGCGUGACGGCGCGAGCAGGUGCGAAAGCAGGUCAUAGUGAUCCGGUGGUUCUGAAUGGAAGGGCCAUCGCUCAACGGAUAAAAGGUACUCCGGGGAUAACAGGCUGAUACCGCCCAAGAGUUCAUAUCGACGGCGGUGUUUGGCACCUCGAUGUCGGCUCAUCACAUCCUGGGGCUGAAGUAGGUCCCAAGGGUAUGGCUGUUCGCCAUUUAAAGUGGUACGCGAGCUGGGUUUAGAACGUCGUGAGACAGUUCGGUCCCUAUCUGCCGUGGGCGCUGGAGAAUUGAGGGGGGCUGCUCCUAGUACGAGAGGACCGGAGUGGACGCAUCACUGGUGUUCGGGUUGUCAUGCCAAUGGCACUGCCCGGUAGCUAAAUGCGGAAGAGAUAAGUGCUGAAAGCAUCUAAGCACGAAACUUGCCCCGAGAUGAGUUCUCCCUGAGACUUUAAGUCUCCUGAAGGAACGUUGAAGACGACGACGUUGAUAGGCCGGGUGUGUAAGCGCAGCGAUGCGUUGAGCUAACCGGUACUAAUGAACCGUGAGGCUUAACCUUACAACGCCGAAG
RNAcentral lists this ribosomal RNA (2921 nucleotides) under Klebsiella pneumoniae. RNAcentral describes it as "23S ribosomal RNA". It matches the Rfam family "Bacterial large subunit ribosomal RNA". The record is from RNAcentral. Lineage: Bacteria; Pseudomonadati; Pseudomonadota; Gammaproteobacteria; Enterobacterales; Enterobacteriaceae.